CACNUGCNAGUCGAGGGGCAGCAUUUCAGUUUGCUUGCAAACUGGAGAUGGCGACCGGCGCACGGGUGAGUAACACGUAUCCAACCUGCCGAUAACUCGGGGAUAGCCUUUCGAAAGAAAGAUUAAUACCCGAUGGCAUAAUAAAACCGCAUGGUUUUUUUAUUAAAGAAUUUCGGUUAUCGAUGGGGAUGCGUUCCAUUAGGCAGUUGGUGAGGUAACGGCUCACCAAACCUUCGAUGGAUAGGGGUUCUGAGAGGAAGGUCCCCCACAUUGGAACUGAGACACGGUCCAAACUCCUACGGGAGGCAGCAGUGAGGAAUAUUGGUCAAUGGGCGCAGGCCUGAACCAGCCAAGUAGCGUGAAGGAUGACUGCCCUAUGGGUUGUAAACUUCUUUUAUAUGGGAAUAAAGUUUUCCACGUGUGGAAUUUUGUAUGUACCAUAUGAAUAAGGAUCGGCUAACUCCGUGCCAGCAGCCGCGGUAAUACGGAGGAUCCGAGCGUUAUCCGGAUUUAUUGGGUUUAAAGGGAGCGUAGGUGGACAGUUAAGUCAGUUGUGAAAGUUUGCGGCUCAACCGUAAAAUUGCAGUUGAUACUGGCUGUCUUGAGUACAGUAGAGGUGGGCGGAAUUCGUGGUGUAGCGGUGAAAUGCUUAGAUAUCACGAAGAACUCCGAUUGCGAAGGCAGCUCACUGGACUGCAACUGACACUGAUGCUCGAAAGUGUGGGUAUCAAACAGGAUUAGAUACCCUGGUAGUCCACACAGUAAACGAUGAAUACUCGCUGUUUGCGAUAUACAGUAAGCGGCCAAGCGAAAGCAUUAAGUAUUCCACCUGGGGAGUACGCCGGCAACGGUGAAACUCAAAGGAAUUGACGGGGGCCCGCACAAGCGGAGGAACAUGUGGUUUAAUUCGAUGAUACGCGAGGAACCUUACCCGGGCUUAAAUUGCAUUUGAAUAUAUUGGAAACAGUAUAGCCGUAAGGCAAAUGUGAAGGUGCUGCAUGGUUGUCGUCAGCUCGUGCCGUGAGGUGUCGGCUUAAGUGCCAUAACGAGCGCAACCCUUAUCUUUAGUUACUAACAGGUCAUGCUGAGGACUCUAGAGAGACUGCCGUCGUAAGAUGUGAGGAAGGUGGGGAUGACGUCAAAUCAGCACGGCCCUUACGUCCGGGGCUACACACGUGUUACAAUGGGGGGUACAGAAGGCAGCUACCUGGUGACAGGAUGCUAAUCCCAAAAGCCUCUCUCAGUUCGGAUCGAAGUCUGCAACCCGACUUCGUGAAGCUGGAUUCGCUAGUAAUCGCGCAUCAGCCAUGGCGCGGUGAAUACGUUCCCGGGCCUUGUACACACCGCCCGUCAAGCCAUGAAAGCCGGGGGUACCUGAAGUACGUAACCGCAAGGAG
Molecule: ribosomal RNA, 1397 nt
Filed under: uncultured bacterium
Lineage: Bacteria
Description: 16S ribosomal RNA
Rfam family: Bacterial small subunit ribosomal RNA
Source: RNAcentral